AGACAGUGGAAGACAAGAGCACAUGGCUGUAGGAGCAGAGAGGAAGACAAGAACACAUGGCUGUAGGAGCAGAGAGGAAGACAGUGGAAGACAAGAGCACAUGGCUGUAGGAGCAGAGAGGAAGACAGUGGAAGACAAGAC
Salvelinus namaycush (lake trout) is the source of this 141-nucleotide long non-coding RNA. RefSeq lists it as uncharacterized. NCBI's taxonomy places the organism in Eukaryota, Metazoa, Chordata, Actinopteri, Salmoniformes, Salmonidae. The transcript has 3 exons. The record is from RefSeq and is a predicted model, not a curated record.